This is a long non-coding RNA of Salvia hispanica, 599 nucleotides long. RefSeq lists it as uncharacterized. Lineage: Eukaryota; Viridiplantae; Streptophyta; Magnoliopsida; Lamiales; Lamiaceae. The record is from RefSeq and is a predicted model, not a curated record.
UUCCAUCUCUUCAACCUUACAUAUGCUACACAUCCAACAACAUAUGUAACAUCUCCCAAAAUAUAAAAUGAGAGCAACAUAUCUCUUCAUCUUUUUCAUCUUGUUCAUGCGAGAAGCCAUUUUCACACACACCGUUGCUUCUCUCUCUAAGGGGCUUCCGCAUUCACAUUUUUUUUAUCUGAAACGAGAAGUCCUGAGGCCGCCGCCGGCGCCAAUAGCUGCAUCAGGUCCUCGCGAGAUUCCGCCGUCGCCGCCGCCUCCGCCACCACAUGUCCCCAAGGUACUCACAGGCCGAGGCUGAGACUAGUACUCUAUCAAUGUCGAUUUUUGCCAUUGCUGGGACUUGGUUCUGCAUCCCCAUCCUGAUUUUGAUAUUUUGGUCCCAAUGUUUUCGGUUGUGGAAUUUUGCAAAUCUGAAAAAUUGUUCAAUAAAAGUUUAUGGAAAUCGAAGAAUAUGAUGACUUGUUGUGGAUCAAAUUUGUUAUAUUUAUAUGUGAUGGAUGGAAGUCAAUGUAUUUUCCUAUUUCAAUAAUAUUUCUAUGUAAUGUAAACUCUACAACAAUUAUUUCAUGAUUAAUACAAUAACAAGUUGUAUAUAA